ACAAGAGCCCAACUCUCUGGUUACAUCCAUUCAGCCAAUUCCUUGUCCACUGAACAGUCCAUCCAUCAAAUCCAUGUCUCUCCAGUUAGAAGACAAUGAUGUCUUGUGCCACCAUGUCAAAUGCCUUACAGAAAUCUUGAUAGAUGACAUCUGUUGGUCUUCUGUUGUUGACAGUUGCCAUCACUCCAUCAUAGGAUUGGUCCUGACAACCAUACUGUCACUUCUCUGGAUCUUAUCUGACUUAGAUAUUAAGAAGCAAGGGCGAAAGAAAAAUGGACAAAGAACAGGAUCAAGACAGAGUGGGAAAAUGCAUACAGCAAGAAGACAGUAACUUAUUUAAGAGAUGGAAGGUGCUGCAGUUCAGUAAUGAAUUUGUUGUACACUGAAUCCAGACUGAAUCUCCAGGAGAGGGAGACAAUGAAUAGGCCAGUAGAAAGGAUUGAAUGCUGAUGUCAAUUAGACUGAAACUAUGAAAUAAAUGAGGGGCUUCAGUAGUUAUUCUUCAUAGCCACUUCAGUUUAGUAUGCAAGGGAAUGUUUCUGUUUUAUUGCAGUAGUAAAUUUCAGAGCCCAG
This is a long non-coding RNA of Passer domesticus (house sparrow), 573 nucleotides long. RefSeq lists it as uncharacterized. The record is from RefSeq and is a predicted model, not a curated record. The transcript is spliced from 4 exons. Lineage: Eukaryota; Metazoa; Chordata; Aves; Passeriformes; Passeridae.